This 247-nucleotide unclassified non-coding RNA is filed under the name Hevea brasiliensis (rubber tree). Lineage: Eukaryota; Viridiplantae; Streptophyta; Magnoliopsida; Malpighiales; Euphorbiaceae. The record is from RNAcentral.
GGGUGUUGGAGAAUUUAUCAGACACCAUUACUGCUGUUCAUACAGUUAAUGGGUCUCAUUGCUUGGACAUAGUUUUCGCAAACAAAACAACUGAUCCAGUAUGGUUGGUCGAACAAAGAGAAGUCGAGAUCAAAAUUAUUGAAGGAUGGAUUAACAAGUACUAUGAUGAUCUGAGGAAUCAGCAAUGAAAACCACACCAAAUUUGUAAUAAUCUGGAAUGGGAUUAAUGGUAGUAGGAAUAUUAAAG